UAGAAACAACUCCCUCCUCCUCCUCCCCGUACUCAUACUCUUGCGAUUUCUUACUCUCUUCUUCUUUAUCAUCUUCGUUGGUCAACUGUUCGACUUAAAACCCUCCUUUAUAUCUUUCUAAAUCUACCAACAGAGGGUUUGUGGGUUUCUAAGGAUUUCUUUUUAGUUUCACUAAGAUUGAAUGGGUGUUGUGUUUGACAUGAAGCUGAUUUGGGUGAUUCUCGAGAUGAAAUAGAUAAGAAGAGAUGGUUAAUGCCAGAGUAACGGAAAGUCGGGGAAAGGAGUAGUGGAGAUGGGUUUAAUGGUAAGCUGAUGUAGUUCAUGUUGUCAAUGAUGCAGGGAUGGAGAAGGUAUUGGUUAUUGUUUUUGAAUUCGAGAAAGGUUGAGCUCGAUUGAGUUGCAUAUGCGAUGUUGGUAAUGGAAAUGAUUGUAGUGCUGCUAUGGAGCUGAGGCAAUGUGGUGGUUGAGAUGAUGAGUGGGUUAUUAUGAGGUUAUUAAUUGAACUAGAGUGUGUUGGCAAGAAGAUUGGGUACAUGUUCAGUUUCUAUUUGGUGUGAGCUACAGGUGGUCGUGCAAUGGCUACGUAUAGUGGAGUGGAUGCAGCUGUAAUGUUGGUGUGGAUAUGAUGAUAUGGGCCCGCUGGUUAGUACAUGGGAGAUAGGAUUCUGGUGCUGAUACUGAAGCUGGAUUUGGUGCUGUUGGUUUGAGAGACUGAACGAGUUCUGAAGAUGUAGCUUUGUGCAACUGUUACUAUUGGGGGUUGUUUGAGCCGAGAGUUUGCUGCCAGUGGUGAUAAUAAAUGCGUAUGCUUAUGUUUAAUUUGCAGGGAAAUGGAAAGCUAUAGAAGAGUACCACCAGGUAGGUUGCACAGCAACACCACCAGCUUGUGCAUGCAAAAUGUUCAAGGCAAUUCCUGAAUCACUAGUCUCGAGUAUGAUGGGUUUAUUUAAUUUUCUUAAAAUUAUUAUGCAGGCCUCAGGUAUCAUCAACUUUGCUCUGUAAACAUAAUAGUAUAUUGGGUCCUACUUACGUAGUUGGAAUUGAUGAUUUUUGUUGGAAAUGCAGGCUGGAGGGAUGUAUGUGAUAUGUAUGCUGCUGCUGCUAGUGGAUACUUGGAGUAACUAGCUUUUUGUAUCUAAUUUGGAUCAUGGUGUUUCAGAUGAGAAUAUCAAAGUAAAAGAAUUUAUAUAGGUUUGGGUUAGGUUUCUUAGUGGAGGGAGUAGUUUAUCAACUGUCGUUUGAGAUUUCGGUAAGUCGUAAUAUAGGAAAAACUGUAAGAGGUUGCUGGAAGAUGUUGGUACUUCGGUUGAUUCGGCAAGAAUGAUUUGGAAAUUCCUGUAAAAUUAUAGCUGUUACAUCAAAUUUACUUUAGGGAGUUGAAUCCGUGGAUGUUUUCGGAGUAAGAUUAAUAUGAGUAUCUCUUGAGGGAUUCAGAAUCGGUAAGGAAUGAUAAAAUCUUCUUCAGUUGUUUAUGGAUCUUUGAAAUUAACAUGUUAAAUGUUAUCGUUUUAUAAUCAUAUACAUUACGGUAUGUUUGUUAGGGGAUGAAGUGAAGUAAUAGUAGAUUGUAACUUAGAAAAUCAUGAAAGAAGGAUAUGAAAAGUCUG
This is a long non-coding RNA of Papaver somniferum (opium poppy), 1607 nucleotides long. RefSeq lists it as uncharacterized. The record is from RefSeq and is a predicted model, not a curated record. The transcript has 3 exons. Lineage: Eukaryota; Viridiplantae; Streptophyta; Magnoliopsida; Ranunculales; Papaveraceae.